GCGGCGGACGGGUGAGUUAACACGUGGGUGAUCUGCCCUGCACUUCGGGAUAAGCCUGGGAAACUGGGUCUAAUACCGGAUAGGAGCCAUUUUUAGUGUGAUGGUUGGAAAGUUUUUUCGGUGUAGGAUGAGCUCGCGGCCUAUCAGCUUGUUGGUGGGGUAAUGGCCUACCAAGGCGGCGACGGGUAGCCGGCCUGAGAGGGUGGACGGCCACAUUGGGACUGAGAUACGGCCCAGACUCCUACGGGAGGCAGCAGUGGGGAAUAUUGCACAAUGGGCGCAAGCCUGAUGCAGCGACGCCGCGUGGGGGAUGACGGCCUUCGGGUUGUAAACUCCUUUCGCUAGGGACGAAGCUUUUUGUGACGGUACCUAGAUAAGAAGCACCGGCUAACUACGUGCCAGCAGCCGCGGUAAUACGUAGGGUGCGAGCGUUGUCCGGAAUUACUGGGCGUAAAGGGCUCGUAGGUGGUUUGUCGCGUCGUCUGUGAAAUUCCGGGGCUUAACUCCGGGCGUGCAGGCGAUACGGGCAUAACUUGAGUACUGUAGGGGUAACUGGAAUUCCUGGUGUAGCGGUGAAAUGCGCAGAUAUCAGGAGGAACACCGAUGGCGAAGGCAGGUUACUGGGCAGUUACUGACGCUGAGGAGCGAAAGCAUGGGUAGCGAACAGGAUUAGAUACCCUGGUAGUCCAUGCCGUAAACGGUGGGCGCUAGGUGUGAGGGUCUUUUCACGACCUUCGUGCCGUAGCUAACGCAUUAAGCGCCCCGCCUGGGGAGUACGCCGC
Molecule: ribosomal RNA, 782 nt
Filed under: uncultured Actinomycetes bacterium
Lineage: Bacteria; Bacillati; Actinomycetota; Actinomycetes
Description: bacterial SSU rRNA
Rfam family: Bacterial small subunit ribosomal RNA
Source: RNAcentral